AGAAACUAACAAGGAUUCCCCCAGUAACGGCGAGUGAAGCGGAAGAGCUCAAGCUUAAAAUCUCCAUACUUGUAUGGCGAAUUGUAGUCUAUUGAGGCUGUUGUCAGCAUCGCGAUUGGGGACAAGUCCCUUGGAAAAGGGCAGCAUGGAGGGUGAUACUCCCGUCUCUGCUCCAAUCUGCGGUGUGUACGAUACGCUUUCUUUGAGUCGAGUUGUUUGGGAAUACAGCUCAAAGUAGGUGGUAAAUUCCAUCUAAAGCUAAAUAUUGGUGCGAGACCGAUAGCGAACAAGUACCGUGAGGGAAAGAUGAAAAGAACUUUGAAAAGAGAGUUAAAGAGUACCUGAAACUGUUGAAAGGGAACCGUAGUCGUUUCCAGUGUUGUAUCCGUAUGCAUAUUUCAUUCGUGGAGUAAUUUACGGGUGCCCUGUGCAUGGGUGUGACGUCAGGGUCAGUUUGUAUGCUGCGGGAGAUGGUCAGUGAGGAGGUGCGUCACUUCGGUGAAAGUUAUAUCUCGCUGUCUAGUAGCCGUGGUUGAGACUGAGGUGCCUACAACAUGCCUUAAGGUUCUAUGUUGUCUCGUGUUGGUGACUGCUUUGAUAGCUUGCUAUGUCUGUGGUUUAUUAAUGCGUAAG
This 633-nucleotide ribosomal RNA is filed under the name Saprolegnia sp. strain 2 (fish). RNAcentral describes it as "LSU rRNA". It matches the Rfam family "Eukaryotic large subunit ribosomal RNA", at positions 60 to 632 of the family's 3401-position model. The record is from RNAcentral. Lineage: Eukaryota; Oomycota; Saprolegniomycetes; Saprolegniales; Saprolegniaceae.